Molecule: long non-coding RNA, 376 nt
Filed under: Setaria viridis
Lineage: Eukaryota; Viridiplantae; Streptophyta; Magnoliopsida; Poales; Poaceae
Description: long non-coding RNA (SVIR_LNC005288)
Source: RNAcentral
AUUUGUUGGGCAUUGCACUACUAGAAUCGGAAUCAUCCCACGACAAACCAGAACUUCACAGAAAGCUCGAUGAGAAACCCAGGACAAUGGAGUUUCUUGUGAGCCACCAUCAAAUGUUACUGUCGCGAAUACUAUUUUCCUAACGACUACCGAAUGGACAAAAUUUUCUGUCAUUUUAUUCCCAAGGUGAUAUUGUCUCAUAAAGUAACUAGCUAUUGUCGAUCAGAAAACUUACUAUUCCUGACAAUCUCCCUUGCUUAAUCUUCUUUUUAACAAUCAAUCGAUACACUUUCUGAUCUCUUCUGGCUGAAUUUGAGAGAUUUAAAUUCUAAUCAAUUUAUAACGCAUUUCUAUUUUGACAUCUCGCUCCUCCGAU